UACGAAGGGGGCUAGCGUUGUUCGGAAUUACUGGGCGUAAAGCGCGUGUAGGCGGGUCUUUAAGUCAGGGGUGAAAUGCCAAGGCUCAACCUUGGAAAUGCCUUUGAUACUGGAGACCUUGAGUCCGGGAGAGGUGAGUGGAAUUGCGAGUGUAGAGGUGAAAUUCGUAGAUAUUCGCAAGAACACCAGUGGCGAAGGCGGCUCACUGGCCCGGAACUGACGCUGAGACGCGAAAGCGUGGGGAGCGAACAGG
Molecule: ribosomal RNA, 253 nt
Filed under: uncultured bacterium
Lineage: Bacteria
Description: partial 16S ribosomal RNA
Rfam family: Bacterial small subunit ribosomal RNA
Source: RNAcentral